This is a non-coding RNA of Agrilus planipennis (emerald ash borer), 192 nucleotides long. The record is from Rfam. Lineage: Eukaryota; Metazoa; Arthropoda; Insecta; Coleoptera; Buprestidae.
AAUUUUUCAGUAGAAUUUCAUGAAAACAAAAACACACACAAAAACUAAAAUUUCCACAAAAACUAAUUAUGAACGGCCUGAGAUGGAGGGGUUUUAGUCGGUAGGUCCCAGGACUUCUUUCUCGGGAAUCCGACACUACCCAGUCGUAUGGACCGCUGGGUGUCUUUUGAAGAUUUCCCCUCUUCCAUGAAA